AUUACGUCCUAGGGGAGCUAUUUAGCUGAGAGGAAACUGAAAGUUUUGACCCUUUGAACCUGAUCUAGUUAACACUAGCGUAGGGAAGCGAUGAGUUUGUGUU
RNAcentral lists this non-coding RNA (103 nucleotides) under Gottschalkia acidurici. RNAcentral describes it as "Clostridium acidurici TPP sequence". It matches the Rfam family "TPP riboswitch aptamer (THI element)". From Rfam's summary of the family: Vitamin B(1) in its active form thiamin pyrophosphate (TPP) is an essential coenzyme that is synthesised by coupling of pyrimidine and thiazole moieties in bacteria. RNAcentral also lists the same sequence under 1 other name. Lineage: Bacteria; Bacillati; Bacillota; Tissierellia; Tissierellales; Gottschalkiaceae. The record is from RNAcentral.